This is a long non-coding RNA of Hippocampus comes (tiger tail seahorse), 1028 nucleotides long. RefSeq lists it as uncharacterized. The record is from RefSeq and is a predicted model, not a curated record. The transcript is spliced from 4 exons. NCBI's taxonomy places the organism in Eukaryota, Metazoa, Chordata, Actinopteri, Syngnathiformes, Syngnathidae.
GCGCGCGUCAAUCUACGCGAUAGCAGCAAGUUUGAUAUUUCACAUAAGCCUCAAAAACGUGGACAGAAUAAAAAUGAAACAACUGCACGUAGCACCAAAAAAAAAAAAAAAUGAAGCAUGCACACUCAGCGACACACUCCCAGAUACGCACAUCCACACACAGUUGUUCUCUGCCCUUCUCCCAUUCCCCUCUGUUGUCUCACUCUCUCCGUGAGCAUCAAUACGGCCCAUUGAUUCAAUAAGGAGCACGCUUUGUGAUGCCAGAGUCAGAGGAGCUGUGUUGGAAUAUCGGUUGCCCGGGACAACAGUCCACCCCCACAUCCUACAUGGAGCCCAUGUCACCAUUGUUCCGAUAUUUCACUGUAAACCAAGUGAGGUCAUGUAUGUAUCUCUGUCGCUAUACUGCUUGUUGGACAGGAAUACCCUUUAAACGUGUGUGUGUGUGUGUGUGUGUGUGUGUGUGUGUGAGUGAUGCGUGGGAGAAAGGAGGCGAUGAGUCAUGGCACACAUACCACUAGGACACAAGAGCUCCCCCUGUUGCCGGGGUAGGGGAAGCCCAGCGGUGUGGGUGUAUUGUCUGGAAGAACAAAGCUGACGGUGACAUCACAGGACGCGUUUCUCCUACAACAGUCAAAGAUCGGAGUGAACUGACAAAGGUUAAGUGCGAUUGCGCCUGAGCAGCCCGGACGAGGGCGGGCCUUUGUGUGGCGAGAUGGAAUGCGGUGCGCUUGGCAUUUUUCAGCAAAAGGGCAUCUGUAUCGAAGUCGCCGCCAAGAGGAUUGUCGGGUGAGAUCACGGCUGCCGAAUACUCAAGGGCGAAAGAAUUUCGACACCGGAGGGACGUGUCAACGUGGAGUUUUGCAGACAAACAAGAAAGUGACUGACAAAGCCGAUGGCAGUUGGAGCGGCGAGGUCAACAUUGAUCAUCCCAUAAUGACAUUUGGAGCCACUGCACUGAGGCCGUCUGCAAGGGAUCAGCCAUCAGCGCCACCAAAUGCCGGGCCAGGCUACAGCAACGCUCAGCACGC